Molecule: ribosomal RNA, 440 nt
Filed under: uncultured bacterium
Lineage: Bacteria
Description: partial 16S ribosomal RNA
Rfam family: Bacterial small subunit ribosomal RNA
Source: RNAcentral
CCUACGGGUGGCAGCAGUGGGGAAUAUUGCACAAUGGGGGAAACCCUGAUGCAGCGACGCCGCGUGAGUGAAGAAGUAAUUCGUUAUGUAAAGCUCUAUCAGCAGGGAAGAAAAUGACGGUACCUGAGUAAGAAGCCCCGGCUAACUACGUGCCAGAAGCCGCGGUAAUACGUAGGGGGCAAGCGUUCUCCGGAUUUACUGGGGGGAAAGGGAGCGUAGACGGCAGUGCAAGGCUGGAGGGAAAGGCGGGGGCUCAACCCCCGGACUGCUCUGGAAACUGUACGGCUGGAGUGCAGGAGAGGUAAGUGGAAUUCCAAGUGAAGCGGUGAAAUGCGUAGAUAUUAGGAGGAACACCAGUGGCGAAGGCGGCUUACUGGACCGUAACUGACGUUGAGGCUCGAAAGCGUGGGGAGCAAACAGGAUUAGAUACCCUUGUAGUC